Molecule: ribosomal RNA, 378 nt
Filed under: uncultured bacterium
Lineage: Bacteria
Description: bacterial SSU rRNA
Rfam family: Bacterial small subunit ribosomal RNA
Source: RNAcentral
GUAGUCCACGCUGUAAACGAUGUCGAUUUGGAGGUUGUGGUCAUGAACUGUGGCCUCCGGAGCUAACGCGUUAAAUCGACCGCCUGGGGAGUACGGCCGCAAGGUUAAAACUCAAAUGAAUUGACGGGGGCCCGCACAAGCGGUGGAGCAUGUGGUUUAAUUCGAUGCAACGCGAAGAACCUUACCUACUCUUGACAUCCAGCGAAUCCUUUAGAGAUAGAGGAGUGCCUUCGGGAGCGCUGAGACAGGUGCUGCAUGGCUGUCGUCAGCUCGUGUUGUGAAAUGUUGGGUUAAGUCCCGCAACGAGCGCAACCCUUAUCCUUUGUUGCCAGCGAGUAGUGUCGGGAACUCAAAGGAGACUGCCGGUGAUAAACCGGA